This is a long non-coding RNA of Oncorhynchus tshawytscha (Chinook salmon), 4076 nucleotides long. RefSeq lists it as uncharacterized. NCBI's taxonomy places the organism in Eukaryota, Metazoa, Chordata, Actinopteri, Salmoniformes, Salmonidae. The record is from RefSeq and is a predicted model, not a curated record. The transcript has 8 exons.
UCUUGGGGAUUAGGUAGACUUGUUGGGGGAAUGAGAAGCUUGUUUCUGCUCCUCCUGAUAUCUACGGGACUGGGAACUGUGAAAGCAGAGAAGAAUAACAUGAAAAAAAAAACAUUUAUUAGGCAUGUUAAAAGGACAAUUGCACUUCCUGAUUUGGCCCGGUUUUGAAGAUUGCUCAUUAAGUAAUGAUGGCGGCCAUGACUGAAGCCAAACGAGAGUUGUCUUGGUGGUGUGGUUUGAUGUGGGUGUUGCCCCCGGGGGGAGGGGUGCAGGUGUAGUUGGACUGGCUACCAACCAUCUUGGCCGUGUAGUUAUGGAGACCGCCAGUGGAACGCCAGUAUACACGCAGUGUGUUGUUGGCCAUCCUGUACAGCUUCACGCCCGAUGGACAACAAGCACCUGGGAGGGAAAGAUAGUUCAGUAAGGCACAAGAGUGGCAACUGUGCAGGGCGCAAUGGUGAUGCAUCCCAUCAGGCAGUGGGUGUCCAGGGUGUGGCAGCGGGCGGUGCCUUUCGGUGAGGUCAGAGAGGUCAUGUAGGUGUGUGUGCCUCUCGCCAUCGACCAGGUGACAUUUGUCAUGGCCUGAGUCACCUGUUCAACGUUAAAGGUUGCCGGGCAACAGGGUGCUAGAGGACGAAUGGAAAGCACAAUUUUUCCAUGGUUCCCUACCUGUUUCCAGUGGAAUACUGUAGCUGGGAAAACUGUCGCCCACGGUGGUGGUUGCUAUGGCGCUGACCUCAUAGACCUCGCCACAGGGCAGGUCAAGUAUCUCACAGGACGUUCCUCUGGAAGUGCAGGUGUUUCUGUUGUCCUGGGCCACUACGCUCACUUUGUAGGUGGUACCUGCUCUGUUGGGAGUACUAAAGCUGACAUUGACACUGGUGGUGUUGAUCUGGGUCACAUUCAGGAUCUCUGGCAUACAGGGAGCUGAGAAAGAGAAAGUGAAGGAGAGAGGAAGUGGCAUGGGGAGGGUUAGCGUCACAGUGAUCUUUUACCUGUGGUUGUAAUGACACACAUCAUGUUUUCCCAUUCAUCCAAAUAAACUGGUGAUAUGAUUAGUUAGCAGACACUUCUAUGUGGCAAUUUUUCUUAAAGAUGUUUGUGUUACCUGUCUCCUUAGUGUGUGAUCUGCAGGUGUGGUUGCACCCUCUAAUCUCAUUACAGGGGAUCACCACCACACUGUAGGGGCUGUUACAGGUGAGGUCGGAGAGAGCGCACACUGGUGCCGUGUCGUUACACAGGAUGACCUCUGACCCUUCCACCGCCCGCGUCUCGUACACCUCAGCCCCGCGCACUGCUGACCACAUGAUCUCCAGGGUGCCGGGGGAGGCCAGGGAGAUGAACACGUCCUCGGGACAACAGGGUACUGGGGAUGGACAGAGAGAUAAAGGGAGAGAGUGGUGUAGUUGAGCACGGGGCCCGGUGGGCUGGAUCCAGCCAGGCUGAAGGCGAACACAGUCAUCAGGUGAUGAACUCCUCAGGAGCAGAAGGGAUGCUGGGUCCUCCCUCGUUGAUGGCUGUCACGGUGACGGUGUGUCUCUGGCCACACCCCACGGGGGCCAGGGUGCAGGUGCCGGUGGUAGAGGUACAGUUCAGCCCCUCUGAGCUGAAGGCCAGGUACUCCCCUGCCCCCUGAGAUGGAGCCCAGGACACAGACAGACCGGCCUCAGAGCCCACCAUCCUCACCUCCAACUCAGUGAGCACAGGGAUGCAUGGACCUGGAGGGAGGAGAGAGAAACAACAUGAGCACACACACAAUUAGACGGUGAAGUCGUCUCCCUGUCUUUUCUCGGGGUCCCAGGCAUUGCCCUUGAUGCAAUAGGUUGUCCCAGCCUCCAGGCCAGAGAAGGUCACGCUGGUGUCAGUGGUGUUGAGCUUCACCCUGCUGUCUGAGCCCUCCAUGAUGAUGCUAAUGGUGUACAGGAAAACGUGGUCCACAGGCUCCCACCCCACCACAAUGGUGUCAUUGCUGAGAGAGGUGGAGUUGAGCUUGGGCGCAGCAACCACUUUAGGAGAGAGACAGCAAUGAGACAUGUUAUGUAGAGUGUGUAUUUGUUUGUCUGUGUUGGGGGUGUUCAUGGUUUGCCUUUUAUUUGUGUGAUAUCAUUCAGAAAGCUCUAAAGUGUAUUUUCUGUUCUGUGGGAUCACUUUACAAUGUACUACUACAUGACUGAGAUUUGAGACGAUCAAAAUUCUCUCCCUCUCCUCUGCCUUCUAAAGAAGGUCAAACCACAACACAAUAGGAUGAAACUGCUGGUGGCUUGUUUUGGUACAUGAAGAUAUCCGAUAGACUGACUAACUCAGGUCCUAUUCCCAGGGUAACCAACACAGUGUUCUCAGUUGUCAACCCAGUUAGGUAAAUCUCUUUGUGUAUGGAGAGGGGUCAGAUAUAAUUACAGCGCAUACCUCCCUCCUCAGGGCAGCAAGAGCAUCUCACUAAUAGAGGAAAGUACCGGAUUUGCAAUACCUCAUCUGAAAUCAAGUUUUUAAGGUCAGACGGUGAAUGUGAAUGUGAGAUACAAGGGACAAUACCUGUCUUUGCUACCACAGGGAGGGAAGGCUGGCUCCUGCCUCCGCUGUUGAUGGACAUGACACUGAGAGUGUAGUCGGUGUAGGCCUGAAGGUUGAGCACGGUCCCAGGGGAAGAGGACACCUCGGUUUCGUAGAAGAAGGCCAUGUCGGCGGUCUCGGCACGCAGGAUGUAGGAAGUGGCCCCGGACACCUGAGUGAACUCCACGGUCAUGCUCUCACUCUGUUUUGAUGUUGCCAUGUUGAUGGUGGGCACCUCAGAAGCUACAGUAGGAAAAAAAACAAGAAGAGGGAAUUGUUGAAACUCACGUAAGGAGAUGGAAAUGUAAGGAUUGUAACCAGUUACACCACAAUAAUCAUACCUGGUUUUAUUUUUCACUAUAAGCCCACUGUUAUAAUAUACUUUAUAUUUCUUAUGAGAGGUUGUCCCUUAACAUUGCUCUAAAUACAGAUUUUAUAUAUUCCCUUAUAGCUCUGAUGAGAGAGAAAAACAGAACUGGCCCUGGAGCGGUGAUUAAUGACAGAAUAUUACGAGAUCACAACAUAAUGUAUAGCCUAUUGUUUCACCAUCAUCUCCUUAGGGUCACAUAGGAGACAUAGGAGACACUGAUUUUACCGGUGGUCUCUUCUACUUCAGCCUGGCUCAAAACAUUCAGGCUGUUAUCCAUGGCCUCAGCCCUGAUGAUGUACAUGUUGUUGGGGGUUAGAGAGUUGAUGGAGCCCAUCACAGAGUUGGCACCGAACUGGGCGAAGGCUGAGGCAUCCAGGGAGUUCUUGGAGGUUGCUGUGAUCUUGUAGGAACUGGCUCCUGAGCAUCUGCUCCACUGCACUGUCAUACUCUUAGAUGUUACGGUGAAUAUCGACACUGUGAUUUCUAUAUGAGGAGAGAGAUAGAAUCACUGUCAAAUGCUGGGUUCAUGUCUGGAUCAAAUUAGAAAAUAUUAUAGCACUACUAUUGCAUACAUGUAUUACAAUUACAUGAUCAUUCUAGUGUAAUAAUCAGGAUUAUUUUAAUCCACUUUCAUCCGACCAUCAUUUUCUGCAGUUGAAAAAAUUGUUUAGGAAUGUACAUGUAUUGUGACAAAAAUAUAAAUGUUUUACCUGAUGAAGCUGAACUCUGGAAGUAAAAACAGAAAAGGAAGUAAAAACCGUAAGAAAUAUAUAUAUAUAAUACUUUUAAGGGAAUGUAAAACAAAUUAUAUUACACAAUGUUCAUACCAGAAGUUUUAUGAAAUUCAAGCAAUCACUUUCCUGGAAUGAAUGUUCCCUACUCAAGGUUAAUCUUACAGUACACCUGAUGACAGGUAUGCCAGUCAAUAAGGCAGUGUUCCCUCUAGAUAGCUCAUUCCUCAUUCCUCAUUCAUGUUCUUUGAUGUUAUUGCAAUAGUAAUGUAUUUGAAAUAUAUGCUAUGUCCUACACAAAUAGCACAGGUAUAAAGCUUCACAGUAAAAAAUUAAAAGUCUUCCUUCUUACCUGAGAGCCUAUGCCUAUCAAGGCGAAAAUCACCAUCCAAUUAAUAAAUCCCAUUCUGUUUUUUUCUUCUUGA